RNAcentral lists this unclassified non-coding RNA (1261 nucleotides) under Hevea brasiliensis (rubber tree). Lineage: Eukaryota; Viridiplantae; Streptophyta; Magnoliopsida; Malpighiales; Euphorbiaceae. The record is from RNAcentral.
CCAUCCUUAAGGGCAACUUUGAGUAGCAAGGAGUCACUAUCAGGCAUUCCAUUCUCAUUAAUAGAAAUAAUUGGAUCGUUGUAAUUUUCCUUUAUAUAGACUAGAAGCUCUUGCAAUCCCUUGGGAUAAAUGUAAAGCCAGUCCAAAGCAGUCGGUGUGCCAAUGGGCUUGCCAUGCUUUUCAGAAGUCAUUUUGAGGUGCCUGUCAUCAACAUAACUAAGAUUGACUCUGUUAGUCAAAUGAGCACUUUCUGCAUAAAAUGUGGUGUAGUAAUUUAGGCCAAGAAAAUCAUAAGACCCUUUUAGCAUAUUGGAUUGCUCUUUGGUGAAUUUGGGCAGUCUAUUUCCAGCAAAUUCCUUCAUGCUCUGGGGAUAGUCACCAAAUGUAAUUGGAUCUGCAACCCAUCCAAAGAAGAAAUCUAAACCCCUAUAAGCAGCCCUUUUGCUGGAAGUUGUAUUGUAUUUGGGUGUAAACCAGUGGGUUACGGUUGUAAUCCCAAUUUGUCCCUUUUGAACAGCCUUGUAUCUCUCCCUGUACAAUUUCACUGCAGCUGCAUGACAAAGAAGUUGGUGGUGGACGGCAAUGUAAGGUUCAGUGGCAGAGUUUCCUGCAGUGCAAUUUCCAGCAUAUUUGGAGCAUCGACCAGGUGCAAAGGUACCACUGUUGUAUGCAUUAGUGGCAAAUAUAUUUGGUUGAUUAAAAGUCACCCAGAAUUUUACUCGAUCACCAAAUGUUUUGAAGCAGAAGUCCGCAUAAUCUAGAUAGUCAUACAAAAUCUUGGGGCUUAGAAAUCCUUCAUAGUCAUCUUCAAGAGCUUGUGGGGUAUCGAAAUGGAAUAAAGUUACAAAGGGCUUUAUACCAUUGGCUAGAAGCAAGUUGAUGAGGUCAUUGUAGAAUUUAACACCAAGUGGGUUCACUCCCCCACUAAUUUUCCCUUUUGGUAAUACUCUGCUCCAAGAGAUGGAAAAUCUGAAGGAGUCCAAACCAAUCUUUUUCAUCAAUUUUAUGUCUUCCUUGUAAUGGUGAUAAAAAUCAUCAGCUACGUCUCCAGUGCUCCGAUCCACAAUUUUUUCUGGAUGUUCCUUAACAAAAAUAUCCCAUAUACUUGGCCCCUUGCCAUCUAUAAGUGCUGCUCCUUCUGUCUGCAAAAAAGAAAACUUAUUNNNNNNNNNNNUCAGGAAAACUGCUUCGAUUAAAAGGCAUCAAACGGUUAGGUUUUGCACCAUAGCUGCAAGUUACCAAGCUGCAGGACGUACCUAGG